This 373-nucleotide ribosomal RNA is filed under the name uncultured organism. Its description in RNAcentral is "partial 16S ribosomal RNA". It matches the Rfam family "Bacterial small subunit ribosomal RNA", at positions 527 to 896 of the family's 1533-position model. The record is from RNAcentral.
GUAGGUGGCAAGCGUUGUCCGGGAUUAUUGGGCGUAAAGCGCGCGCAGGCGGUUCUUUAAGUCUGGUGUGAAAGCCCACGGCUCAACCGUGGAGGGUCAUUGGAAACUGGAGAACUUGAGUACAGAAGAGGAAAGCGGAAUUCCACGUGUAGCGGUGAAAUGCGUAGAGAUGUGGAGGAACACCAGUGGCGAAGGCGGCUUUCUGGUCUGUAACUGACGCUGAGGCGCGAAAGCGUGGGGAGCAAACAGGGAUUAGAUACCCUGGUAGUCCACGCCGUAAACGAUGAGUGCUAAGUGUUAGGGGGUUUCCCGCCCCUUAGUGCUGCAGCUAACGCAUUAAGCACUCCGCCUGGGGAGUACGGCCGCAAGGCUG